This 68-nucleotide transfer RNA is filed under the name Mecodina praecipua. RNAcentral describes it as "tRNA-Leu". The record is from RNAcentral. Lineage: Eukaryota; Metazoa; Arthropoda; Insecta; Lepidoptera; Erebidae.
GCUAUUUUGGCAGAAAAAUGUAAUGAUUUUAGAAUUCAUUUAUAUAUAAUUUAAUUAUAUAGGUAGUA